RNAcentral lists this ribosomal RNA (354 nucleotides) under uncultured Anoxybacillus sp. RNAcentral's name for it is "bacterial SSU rRNA". It matches the Rfam family "Bacterial small subunit ribosomal RNA", at positions 1028 to 1382 of the family's 1533-position model. Lineage: Bacteria; Bacillati; Bacillota; Bacilli; Caryophanales; Anoxybacillaceae. The record is from RNAcentral.
AGGGUGACAGGUGGUGCAUGGUUGUCGUCAGCUCGUGUCGUGAGAUGUUGGGUUAAGUCCCGCAACGAGCGCAACCCUCGACCUUAGUUGCCAGCAUUCAGUUGGGCACUCUAAGGUGACUGCCGGCUAAAAGUCGGAGGAAGGUGGGGAUGACGUCAAAUCAUCAUGCCCCUUAUGACCUGGGCUACACACGUGCUACAAUGGGCGGUACAAAGGGUCGCGAACCCGCGAGGGGGGAGCCAAUCCCAAAAAGCCGCUCUCAGUUCGGAUUGCAGGCUGCAACUCGCCUGCAUGAAGCCGGAAUCGCUAGUAAUCGCGGAUCAGCAUGCCGCGGUGAAUACGUUCCCGGGCCUU